AGCGAACGCUGGCGGCAGGCCUAACACAUGCAAGUCGAACGAACUCUUCGGAGUUAGUGGCGGACGGGUGAGUAACACGUGGGAACGUGCCUUUAGGUUCGGAAUAACUCAGGGAAACUUGUGCUAAUACCGAAUGUGCCCUUCGGGGGAAAGAUUUAUCGCCUUUAGAGCGGCCCGCGUCUGAUUAGCUAGUUGGUGAGGUAAAGGCUCACCAAGGCGACGAUCAGUA
RNAcentral lists this ribosomal RNA (229 nucleotides) under uncultured bacterium. Its description in RNAcentral is "partial 16S ribosomal RNA". It matches the Rfam family "Bacterial small subunit ribosomal RNA", at positions 29 to 285 of the family's 1533-position model. The record is from RNAcentral.